Prionailurus viverrinus (fishing cat) is the source of this 146-nucleotide long non-coding RNA. RefSeq lists it as uncharacterized. The record is from RefSeq and is a predicted model, not a curated record. The transcript has 3 exons. NCBI's taxonomy places the organism in Eukaryota, Metazoa, Chordata, Mammalia, Carnivora, Felidae.
GGAGAUACAGCAAAAGCUCAUACUGUCUGUAUAAUGCUUCCACAAGCACAAGUGCUUGGCGCUGCUGAUUCUGCUGGGCUUGAGCUAACGUUGAAGAGCAUUUAAACAAACAUUGUGUCACUUCCUAAUGGCCACCAUAGACUCAG